RNAcentral lists this long non-coding RNA (720 nucleotides) under Ictidomys tridecemlineatus (thirteen-lined ground squirrel). RNAcentral's name for it is "lncRNA (ENSSTOG00000031921.1)". The record is from RNAcentral. Lineage: Eukaryota; Metazoa; Chordata; Mammalia; Rodentia; Sciuridae.
AAUUUUCCAAUAAGACAGUAAGAGCUGCUAAAAAACAGGCCGAUGUCACCCUGCAGGCCUCCGGUCAUCUUUCUGUCAGCCCCUCUGUAAACAUGAAUUCUCAGAGUUACCCUCCCAGCAUGGCAACAGCUGCUUAGCUUCUCCUUCUCCUGGGUCUUUCCUCGGAGAUAAUCCUUUGCUGUUGAGAUUGGGAAAAUGAUGAUGAGCCAGCUGUCACUUGUACCCAGCCAGGCCAGACGGUCCAGGUCAGCUUGGCUUGAACUCCCCCAGUGCACGCGGAGCAUGACAGCCCAAAGCCCCCUUCUGAGAUUCCUGAGAAUUUCCAGAUCUCACCAAUGCAUGAGCUUUAGGUUCCGUGAAAUCUUGAUCUGCCUCUGCAUCUCACCCCAGGUCGAGGCUUCCCCGUUUGUUCCGAGAUCAGCAGGACUUCCAUGGACAACUGUGCUGCUGGGCCACCAUGGAGAAGCUUCUGGAAUGGAAGUCAGGAGUGAUCACAGAUUCUGUCUCCCGAGGAUAAUGCCAGCAGUCAAGUGGAUUGUGCACGAAGCAAGCCCAAGCCUUCCUGGAGCUGGGAGAGACGUGGUUCUUCCCUGUGUCAUGGACACCAAGGGUGAGAAGGGAUGGUGGAGACAGACUGCAGGUGGAGACAGAUGUGUGGCCAUCGCUAUUGCGAGUAUCUUCCAAGGAUUCCCAAACAGGGGUUUGGGGACAAUGCCAUGA